AAAUACCACCCUUUAAUGUUUGAUGUUCUAACGUUGGCCCCUAAUCGGGGUUGCGGACAGUGUCUGGUGGGUAGUUUGACUGGGGCGGUCUCCUCCUAAAGAGUAACGGAGGAGCACGAAGGUUGGCUAAUCCUGGUCGGACAUCAGGAGGUUAGUGCAAUGGCAUAAGCCAGCUUGACUGCGAGCGUGACGGCGCGAGCAGGUGCGAAAGCAGGUCAUAGUGAUCCGGUGGUUCUGAAUGGAAGGGCCAUCGCUCAACGGAUAAAAGGUACUCCGGGGAUAACAGGCUGAUACCGCCCAAGAGUUCAUAUCGACGGCGGUGUUUGGCACCUCGAUGUCGGCUCAUCACAUCCUGGGGCUGAAGUAGGUCCCAAGGGUAUGGCUGUUCGCCAUUUAAAGUGGUACGCGAGCUGGGUUUAGAACGUCGUGAGACAGUUCGGUCCCUAUCUGCCGUGGGCGCUGGAGAACUGAGGGGGGCUGCUCCUAGUACGAGAGGACCGGAGUGGACGCAUCACUGGUGUUCGGGUUGUCAUGCCAAUGGCACUGCCCGGUAGCUAAAUGCGGAAGAGAUAAGUGCUGAAAGCAUCUAAGCACGAAACUUGCCCCGA
RNAcentral lists this ribosomal RNA (608 nucleotides) under Escherichia coli. Its description in RNAcentral is "bacterial LSU rRNA". It matches the Rfam family "Bacterial large subunit ribosomal RNA", at positions 2195 to 2802 of the family's 2925-position model. Lineage: Bacteria; Pseudomonadati; Pseudomonadota; Gammaproteobacteria; Enterobacterales; Enterobacteriaceae. The record is from RNAcentral.